RNAcentral lists this ribosomal RNA (429 nucleotides) under Chloroflexota bacterium. RNAcentral's name for it is "Chloroflexi bacterium partial 16S ribosomal RNA". It matches the Rfam family "Bacterial small subunit ribosomal RNA", at positions 355 to 776 of the family's 1533-position model. Lineage: Bacteria; Bacillati; Chloroflexota. The record is from RNAcentral.
UGGGGAAUAUUGCACAAUGGGCGCAAGCCUGAUGCAGCCAUGCCGCGUGUGUGAAGAAGGCCUUCGGGUUGUAAAGCACUUUCAGCGGGGAGGAAGGCGUUAAGGUUAAUAACCUUGGCGAUUGACGUUACCCACAGAAGAAUCACCGGCUAACUCCGUGCCAGCAGCCGCGGUAAUACGGAGGGUGCAAGCGUUAAUCGGAAUUACUGGGCGUAAAGCGCACGCAGGCGGUCUGUCAAGUCGGAUGUGAAAUCCCCGGGCUCAACCUGGGAACUGCAUUCGAAACUGGCAGGCUAGAGUCUUGUAGAGGGGGGUAGAAUUCCAGGUGUAGCGGUGAAAUGCGUAGAGAUCUGGAGGAAUACCGGUGGCGAAGGCGGCCCCCUGGACAAAGACUGACGCUCAGGUGCGAAAGCGUGGGGAGCAAACAGG